GAGAGAGAGAGAGAGAGAGAGAGAGAGAGAGAGAGAGAGAGUAAAAAGUGGAGUGAGUUGGGGUUUGAUUAUAUUUGCUGAUGUUAGAAUUGAGAACGUCCAAUACUAUGGAUCUUGGGAAUUUUAGCAGUAUUAGUAGUGUCAGCUUCCACUAUAAUUCCUGUACUGGUUGCAGUUGCAGCUAUUUCCAUUCAUCAUCAGCACCCUUGUCUUUUGGGAGUUCCAAUUCAAUGCUCAAAAUGGUGUCUUUCAACCCCUCCAUUAAUUCUCUCACCUGUUUAAUUCCAAGGCUUUUCUCUUCACCUGUUUGUGAAGAAGAGAAAGCUUGAUUCUUGAAUUCUGGAUCAUCCCCCCUCCUCCCUCUUUAAUUCAAUUUUUCGCUUUGUUCCCCCCUUUAGCGGUGUGUUUUUCUUGCUGAUUUUUGGCGGCUUUUGGGGGUGUACUGACAAAAGCUGUUGCCUCUUGGCCGGAUUUCAGCGAACGUUUUGUUCUUUUCUUAGAAGUUUGGGAGCUUCUCAUUCAAUUCGCAACAUCCAUUUUGUGAUAUAGGCUGGAGUCUUGAACGAUUCUUCAUCAUCUUUCAAGAGAGAAAAAAAAAAAAAAAGAAAGAAAUUCAAGAAAAUGCUGUGUGUUUCAUUGCCUGGGUUGAGUAAUCAGCAGAUGACAAUGAUGAUGGCUGCUGGAAUUGGUGCAUCUUCCACAGCAAUGGCGAUGAAGCCUUUGGCAACUUGUGGGCGGUAUGAUUUUGACGGUCGUGGUGGAUGUUGGAGUGAUUGUGGCAAAGGGAGGAGGAACUAUGUUGUCGAUGCCGCAACAGGAAAUGCUUCCUCUGCUCUGACGGAAUACUCUAAGAAGUCGAGAGCUGAUUUUUACAAGGAGGUCCUUGAAGCUGCUAGAGAUAAAUUUACUAGGGAGAUAUCUUUUCAGUCGAAGGACAAAGAUAUCUCACUUGCAAAGACUUUACUUUAUGUUGCUGCUGAAGAUGAAGCAUUCUUGGCUUUCAACGGUGAGAUGGAUGCCCGUUCAAUCCGGAACGAGAGGAAAGAUACGUUAUCAUUGGAAGACGCCCAAGAGUGGGGCUGUGUGGAGACUAUGCCAAUGGCUGGAAAGAAUAUAAAUGAGUGGUUGGCCGAGCUAGAUGCCAUAGCAAAAGAAGUUGAAGCUGAGCUAGUUCCAAGAGAGAUAGGAUGUGACUUGGUAGAAGUUCUCGAUGCAGUGAACAAAGUCCUCUUUGAGACUAGGGGUUUUGAGAGGUUACCCGUUUUAGUAGAUUCGAAAUGUUCAUAUUUGCACUCAGUGUUAAGCUCUGGACGUGCCAGCGCAAUUUUGCUUAGCGUGAUUUAUAUUGAGGUUUGCAGAAGACUUAAUCUGACCAUUGUGGGAUCUCGAGUCGGGGAAGAUUUUUUGAUAUGGCCCCUGACGGGGAACCCUGAAGAGUUAUUCAAGGUGACUUCUGGACACAGCUUGUUUGGUGUUGUUAACGGGAAGUGCGUGGAUGAUCCGCGAUCUAGGGCCUCGGACAUAACCAGCAACUCACUGUUAGGCCUAGACAUCGCGACGAACAGAGAUAUCAUUGGGAUUGCUUUGGCCAAUUUAAUACGGCUUCAUUGGAAACGUGCUUCGAGAACAAAUUACGGGUUGAUGCUGACUUCUCCACUCAGGUCCUUUAACAAAUAUGACGAGAAGUUCAACAAGAACAGUGGUUCAAAUACGCCUUUGUUGCGGCGUCAGGAGCUUAGGUUUGAGAUGCUUAUAUUGCAAGAUUGGCAUGAGAUUGAGGAAAUUGUGAAUUCGGACUCAUAAAUUAUCUCCACAUAUAUUCUAAAUCUAGCCGAACGGCUUAUUUCUAGAUUAUAUAAUCCUAACUUAUAUUUAAUGAGUUGGGUUGCCUGCUUCUUACUUUAUAAGUUGCGGGUAUAUAGUUCCCUACUUAAUUACGGAUCGUUACAUGCCGUUGGGUAGUAGGGCUUGUUUUCUGCUCGAGGAAUACCUACAUUUGUACAUUUCUAUCUGUUAUCAACGUCGGGACAUGCAUACAUUCAUGCAUUUCAGUGACAAAUGUAGCAAGCAUCAAAUGGUUUUACCAUCCUUUGUUGUCGGUCCUAGGAGCAUCAUAAUCUCCAAUGAGUGGUUUAAAUCUUUGUGUCACAUUGUCCAAAUCUUGAGAGACGGAACUGAGGCACGGGGUCUAUGUUCCAUAAAGGACUCGUAAGAUUAGGAUUUUGCCCAUGAAUAGUCGCUUCUCGUUGGCUGGAUUACCCCUUAGUAGAGACCUUUGCUGUUAUGUUUCAUCUUAGGUUUGGCCGAAGCAGAUAUUGUCAGACUCAUACAGCAUCAGACCUUUGUUCAGGAACAUAAGUUGCAUGAUUUAUGCAUAACUUUAUAUGUUGUAUUUCCGCAUUACUUUUCAGGCUCGCAAUCAUGGCUUCUGAGCGGCUACUGAUCCUUCAGCCGCACAAUUGGGCUUUGAGGAGAGACUAUGGCAUGAUGUUGUACUAUGACCGAGAAUACGAGGCUGCGGUCCAAGAGCUUAGCAUCUGCAUGGCCUUUGCACCUGAAG
Non-coding RNA from Sesamum indicum (sesame), 2560 nucleotides. The record is from RefSeq and is a predicted model, not a curated record. Lineage: Eukaryota; Viridiplantae; Streptophyta; Magnoliopsida; Lamiales; Pedaliaceae.